RNAcentral lists this non-coding RNA (29 nucleotides) under Mus musculus (house mouse). The record is from RNAcentral. Lineage: Eukaryota; Metazoa; Chordata; Mammalia; Rodentia; Muridae.
UCAAAGAGGUGUAUUUUCNGCUUUAACUG